CUCUAGCCCCGAUAAUAGUGGAAAUCCUUUUUUAAGUCGCCCUUGCGAUGAAAAAAAGAUUGUAGCGGAUAGCGGGAAAUAGC
Molecule: small RNA, 83 nt
Filed under: Flavobacterium weaverense
Lineage: Bacteria; Pseudomonadati; Bacteroidota; Flavobacteriia; Flavobacteriales; Flavobacteriaceae
Description: Flavo-1 RNA
Rfam family: Flavo-1 RNA
Source: RNAcentral